AUGAACGCUGGCGGCGUGCCUCAUACAUGCAAGUCGAGCGAACAGACGAGGAGCUUGCUCCUCUGACGUUAGCGGCGGACGGGUGAGUAACACGUGGAUAACCUACCUAUAAGACUGGGAUAACUUCGGGAAACCGGAGCUAAUACCGGAUAAUAUAUUGAACCGCAUGGUUCAAUAGUGAAAGACGGUUUUGCUGUCACUUAUAGAUGGAUCCGCGCCGCAUUAGCUAGUUGGUAAGGUAACGGCUUACCAAGGCAACGAUGCGUAGCCGACCUGAGAGGGUGAUCGGCCACACUGGAACUGAGACACGGUCCAGACUCCUACGGGAGGCAGCAGUAGGGAAUCUUCCGCAAUGGGCGAAAGCCUGACGGAGCAACGCCGCGUGAGUGAUGAAGGUCUUCGGAUCGUAAAACUCUGUUAUUAGGGAAGAACAAAUGUGUAAGUAACUAUGCACGUCUUGACGGUACCUAAUCAGAAAGCCACAGCUAACUACGUG
This 496-nucleotide ribosomal RNA is filed under the name uncultured bacterium. RNAcentral describes it as "partial 16S ribosomal RNA". It matches the Rfam family "Bacterial small subunit ribosomal RNA", at positions 29 to 507 of the family's 1533-position model. The record is from RNAcentral.